UGCCGCUGUGAGUCGAGGUGAAGGU
RNAcentral lists this non-coding RNA (25 nucleotides) under Mus musculus (house mouse). The record is from RNAcentral. Lineage: Eukaryota; Metazoa; Chordata; Mammalia; Rodentia; Muridae.